GGGGUGUUAGUUAAACUGGUAUAACUAUAGUUUUGCAAGCUAUUAUUAUAGGUUCGAGUCCUGUACACUCCA
Molecule: non-coding RNA, 72 nt
Organism: Trichoplax adhaerens
Lineage: Eukaryota; Metazoa; Placozoa; Uniplacotomia; Trichoplacea; Trichoplacidae
Source: Rfam